UAAAACGUUGCUUCGGCGGGAACAGACGGCCCUGUAACAACGGGCCGCCCCCGCCAGAGGACCCCUAACUCUGUUUUUAUAAUGUUUUUCUGAGUAAACAAGCAAAUAAAUUAAAACUUUCAACAACGGAUCUCUUGGCUCUGGCAUCGAUGAAGAACGCAGCGAAAUGCGAUAAGUAAUGUGAAUUGCAGAAUUCAGUGAAUCAUCGAAUCUUUGAACGCACAUUGCGCCCGCCAGUAUUCUGGCGGGCAUGCCUGUUCGAGCGUCAUUACAACCCUCAGGCCCCCGGGCCUGGCGUUGGGGAUCGGCGGAAGCCCCCUGUGGGCACACGCCGUCCCUCAAAUACAGUGGCGGUCCCGCCGCAGCUUCCAUUGCGUAGUAGCUAACACCUCGCAACUGGAGAGCGGCGCGGCCAUGCCGUAAAACACCCAACUUCUGAAUGUUGACCUCGAAUCAGGUAGGAAUACCCGCUGAACUUAAGCAUAUC
RNAcentral lists this ribosomal RNA (487 nucleotides) under Fusarium solani. RNAcentral's name for it is "eukaryotic LSU rRNA". The stretch from base 115 to 268 matches the Rfam family "5.8S ribosomal RNA". The record is from RNAcentral. Lineage: Eukaryota; Fungi; Ascomycota; Sordariomycetes; Hypocreales; Nectriaceae.